CCAUGGAAUCUAUCCCAUGGCAGUUUCACACAUUUCAAUGCAGGCGAAAGUAAGUUAGCAUGUGGACAUAACUGAGGUUAACCUAGAAUUUGGCUCCCAUCCCACAAGAAGCAAAGAAGGGCAGGCAGGCCCCUUUCGCAUUUCAAAAAUUUGCUACCAUGACUGGCUAGAUUUCCAAGUAUAAUGAUGAUCAUUGGCUCUCCAGGCUUCUCCUGACCCACUUCAUUAGUUGCAUACUGUGCUUAGUCUAAAAUUGACGUCAUUUGAUUGGACUGCUCUAUCAAUCAAUAACAGCAUUUUGUAAAAUACAGUACUGGCGAAAAAAACAACAACAACAACUACAGGUCAAAGAAUGAGAAGUGAUUUUCGGCAGUUACUCUGGGUCUGCAUGAGGCAGAGAGAGAGAGAGUUAUAGCUACAAUAUCAAUGUUAUGCGAGAGAAGAGAGACAUUUACAGAAAAAGAAAGUGAGCAACUGAAGUAUGGAAAGAUAGGAAAUAAGAAAACUAAACAUCUCUGAGGCAGUUUAGGGUGCAAUUUAAAAUCUGCAGAAGUGGUACAAGAUGGCAGAAGGAUAAGAUAACCACCUUCUAAUAAAGGAUUUGAUUUUUAAUGUGGUGAGUAGUGUGGCUCCAAAGAGUGGUGGUUUUUUUUUUAAUUGGGUUGCCCACUGGAGGAAGGAAAGAGAAGGAAGAAGCAGGCUAUGGAUGUUUAAAACCAACUGGAACUAUUAAGAUCAUGCGUGAGGCUGCUGUUCCAUGGGCAGAACCAGAGAGUUCCACUGUGGGAAACCUGCAGCACUUUGCUGGCUGCCCCCACUAGCAACUGUCAUCGUGGAAAUCGGCAGCAAGCUGCCACGGAAGAAGCCUGAGCAAAUUAAAAAAGAAACAAGAAAGAUCGGGAGUUGGUCUUUUUUUGCAAUGGAAUGUAUAAACAUCCACUUUUUGUUGGGGUGAUGAAUAGGAAUACAAAUCUUCUGUAUACGACAGACCGAUUCAAGGAAAAUUAUUGUGAUAUCAAAAUGUAAGUGAAAAAAUAAUGCAAAUCUUUCUAGAAUACCACAAUGACUAUUAGUACUUCUUCUCUGGUGGAACUGACAUUAAACCCCCGCUUGUAUUGACAGACUAGAUCUCCAAAGAGCACCUGACUACCAUCCCCCUCAAAGUACUGUAGUAACCCUGAGGGGCCAGUACUAUUUUUGAUACUAUUAUUCACAAGCCCCCAUUAGUGUGCUUUCCACUGAUUAUCAGCCAUAGUCAUUUCCUAAGGUGGCAUAGUAC
RNAcentral lists this long non-coding RNA (1279 nucleotides) under Phascolarctos cinereus (koala). Its description in RNAcentral is "lncRNA (ENSPCIG00000031655.1)". The record is from RNAcentral. Lineage: Eukaryota; Metazoa; Chordata; Mammalia; Diprotodontia; Phascolarctidae.